CAAUAGCCGCAUGCACACAUAGCUGCCUCGCGUUGCUCCACUUCUUCUCCAAGCCUCGCCCACACUCUUCUCCCUCCGGGUGCAACGGGAGCUCAUCUCCGGCGGAUCUUGAGCUGGAUCACCUUGCCAUCUAUAAAUAGAGGCACACCGAGCCGUUUUGACCAUCCGUACCACUUGAUCUAGCCAUAAAUCGAUCACCGUAGCUCACGGCAAGGGGGAGGGUCUCCAGCCUCUGAUCCUCGCCGACGUUGUCAGUGGAUCCCCCUCGACGGUCCACUCGCUCUGGUGCCCCUCGUCUUUGCCCUCCUCAUCAGGCGUGCUCGUGGUGAACUCCUAAGCAUGACAAUGCCACUAGUUCAUUAGAUUGGCACCAUCUUAUUCAACUCCGACAAGCUCUGCCGCCCGUCAUCUCUCGAGAGGAUCAUUCUGACACUCUCUGUCCACCUUAAUCAUUGCAUCAGGUACUUACACAAUCGCAAGGACAUGUUGGACCCAUUCCCCCUCUCUCUGACAAUCACUGUGGUCUCCUUGUCGUAGAACAACCAACGAUAGAGCCGUCGUGCUCUGCCUCCCCCUCUCUCUCUUUAACCCUGACGGGUGGGACCCCGUGUCAGUCUCUCUCUCUCCCUCUCCCCCUCUCUCUAUCUCUAUCUCUCGCCUAAAGCGAUAUAACGGGAGGCACCCGCUGAAAAUCCGCUUUUAACGUGGCCGCCUCUGGAUUUUUCUGUUUUUAGUUAAAAUUCAUAAUUUUGACGACUUUGACCAACUUUAUCUUUAAAACCAUAAGUCCAAAUGAUUUGAAACUUUUCAGAUUAGUUUUGUCUUGAGCUAAACUUUCUAGCUGCAAGGUUUGAGAAUUUUCCUCACCGAUUAGAAUUUCUGGUGUAAUAAAAUGCUUUAUGUGACAUUUUAUUUUUGCAUUUAUACUAUUUUUCAGAAGAAACUAGUUUCCUUGGAGAGGACCAUGAGUAGUGUGACACUCCUGUGAACUAAGGCAAGCCACACCAUUCAAUUGCAAGGGUGACAUUGCAAUGACAAUGGUUCAUUUUAAUUUAAAAUCAUUUCUUAUACGUAGUUAUUAAAUAGCUCAUUCUAUUAUAUUAGGUGGAAUCCAUGCAUUUUAUGUCAUAUUUGUAUGCUAGUCAUAUGGAGUUCAUGAUCCAUGCCAUGAUUAAAUUG
This 1179-nucleotide long non-coding RNA is filed under the name Hordeum vulgare. RNAcentral's name for it is "long non-coding RNA (HVUL_LNC001088)". Lineage: Eukaryota; Viridiplantae; Streptophyta; Magnoliopsida; Poales; Poaceae. The record is from RNAcentral.